CCAGCAGCUGCGGUAAUUCCAGCUCCAAUAGCGUAUAUUAAAGUUGUUGCAGUUAAAAAGCUCGUAGUUGGAUUUCUAGUGGAGGUGAUCGGUCGGCCUCGCAAGGGGUCUGCACCUGUAUCGUCCUUUGCCAUCCUUCAGGAAGGCGCUUCUUGUAUUAACUUACGGGUUGCGAACUCCUGAUCUUUUACUGUGAAAAAAUUAGAGUGUUCAAAGCAGGCUUAGGCCGUUGAAUACAUUAGCAUGGAAUAAUGAGAUAGGGCCUUGGUGGUUUUCUAUUUUGUUGGUUUGCACGCCAAGGUAAUGAUUAAUAGGGAUAGUUGGGGGUAUUCGUAUUCAAUUGUCAGAGGUGAAAUUCUUGGAUUUAUGGAAGACGAACUACUGCGAAAGCAUUUACCAAGGAUGUUUUCAUUAAUCAAGAACGAAAGU
This 429-nucleotide ribosomal RNA is filed under the name Heterosigma akashiwo. RNAcentral's name for it is "SSU rRNA". It matches the Rfam family "Eukaryotic small subunit ribosomal RNA", at positions 567 to 990 of the family's 1831-position model. The record is from RNAcentral. Lineage: Eukaryota; Raphidophyceae; Chattonellales; Chattonellaceae.